RNAcentral lists this ribosomal RNA (497 nucleotides) under uncultured bacterium. RNAcentral describes it as "partial 16S ribosomal RNA". It matches the Rfam family "Bacterial small subunit ribosomal RNA", at positions 28 to 507 of the family's 1533-position model. The record is from RNAcentral.
GAUGAACGCUGGCGGCGUGCCUAAUACAUGCAAGUCGAGCGAACGGACGAGAAGCUUGCUUUUCUGAUGUUAGCGGCGGACGGGUGAGUAACACGUGGAUAACCUACCUAUAAGACUGGGAUAACUUCGGGAAACCGGAGCUAAUACCGGAUAAUAUUUUGAACCGCAUGGUUCAAAAGUGAAAGACGGUCUUGCUGUCACUUAUAGAUGGAUCCGCGCUGCAUUAGCUAGUUGGUAAGGUAACGGCUUACCAAGGCAACGAUGCAUAGCCGACCUGAGAGGGGGAUCGGCCACACUGGAACUGAGACGCGGUCCAGACUCCUACGGGAGGCAGCAGUAGGGAAUCUUCCGCAAUGGGCGAAAGCCUGACGGAGCAACGGCGCGUGAGUGAUGAAGGUCUUCGGAUCGUAAAACUCUGUUAUUAGGGAAGAACAUAUGUGUAAGUAACUGUGCACAUCUUGACGGUACCUAAUCAGAAAGCCACGGCUAACUACGUG